This 330-nucleotide ribosomal RNA is filed under the name Triticum aestivum (bread wheat). RNAcentral's name for it is "partial small subunit ribosomal RNA". The record is from RNAcentral. Lineage: Eukaryota; Viridiplantae; Streptophyta; Magnoliopsida; Poales; Poaceae.
AUGGCUUAUCCACUACUGGGACCCGAUUUUUUUUGCUUCCAGCAGCGCAGGAGCAGCUUCCCCUGCGCCUUCGGUGGCGGCUUCCCCUGCUCACGGCCACCGAGCCAUGGGGCGGCGACGCAGUGCUACGUGGUGGUGCACCUGGACGCGAAUGGCAUGUUGGGCAUGUACUGGAGUGACAACAACAUGUAUGAGAUGAGCGACAACGCCAAGGACGCUGACCUGAUGAUCGAUGAGCAAUUUGGCCAAGCACUAGGCCAACUUGAGGGUGGGCCCCAUCAUGUCCAAGAUGAUGGAUACGGUGGACGGGACUGGUGGCGCUUUUUGUGA